GGAGGGGUGGCCGAGUGGUUGAAGGCGCCCGCCUCGAAAGCGGGUAUACGGGGAACCGUAUCGAGGGUUCGAAUCCCUCCCCCUCCG
RNAcentral lists this transfer RNA (87 nucleotides) under bacterium. Its description in RNAcentral is "tRNA-Ser". It matches the Rfam family "tRNA". Rfam says of the family: Transfer RNA (tRNA) molecules are approximately 80 nucleotides in length. Their secondary structure includes four short double-helical elements and three loops (D, anti-codon, and T loops). The record is from RNAcentral. RNAcentral also lists the same sequence under 2 other names.